ACACGACUACAUUAGAUACCCCGGUAGUCCUAGCCGUAAACGAUACUCGCUAGGUGUCGGCCACGGUGCGACCGUUGUCGGUGCCGUAGGGAAGCCGUGAAGCGAGCCACCUGGGAAGUACGGCCGCAAGGCUGAAACUUAAAGGAAUUGGCGGGGGAGCACCGCAACGGGAGGAGCGUGCGGUUCAAUUGGAUUCAACGCCGAAAAACUCACCAGGAGCGACGGACAUAUGAAGGUCAAGCUGAUGACUUUACCUGAUUUUCCG
Molecule: ribosomal RNA, 265 nt
Filed under: uncultured archaeon
Lineage: Archaea
Description: partial 16S ribosomal RNA
Rfam family: Archaeal small subunit ribosomal RNA
Source: RNAcentral